CCUACGGGUGGCAGCAGUGAGGAAUAUUGGUCAAUGGACGAGAGUCUGAACCAGCCAAGUAGCGUGAAGGAUGACUGCUCUAUGGGUUGUAAACUUCUUUUAUAUGGGAAUAAAAUGUUCCACGUGUGGGUUUUUGUAUGUACCAUAUGAAUAAGGAUCGGCUAACUCCGUGCCAGCAGCCGCGGUAAUACGGAGGAUCCGAGCGUUAUCCGGGUUUAUUGGGUUUAAAGGGAGCGUAGGUGGAUUGUUAAGUCAGUUGUGAAAGUUUGGGGCUCAACCGUAAAAUUGCAGUUGAAACUGGCAGUCUUGAGUACGGUAGAGGUGGGCGGAAUUCGUGGUGUAGCGGUGAAAUGCUUAGAUAUCACGAAGAACUCCGAUUGCGAAGGCAGCUCACUAGGCUACAACUGACACUGAGGCUCGAAAGUGUGGGUAUCAAACAGGAUUAGAUACCCGAGUAGUC
This 460-nucleotide ribosomal RNA is filed under the name uncultured bacterium. RNAcentral's name for it is "partial 16S ribosomal RNA". It matches the Rfam family "Bacterial small subunit ribosomal RNA", at positions 338 to 795 of the family's 1533-position model. The record is from RNAcentral.